GAUGAACGCUGGCGGCGUGCCUAAUACAUGCAAGUCGAGCGAACGGACGAGAAGUUUGUUUCUUUGAUGUUUGCGGCGGACGGGUGUGUAACACGUGGAUAACCCACUUCUAAGACUGGUAUAACUUCGGGAAUCCGGCGCUAAUACCGGAUAAUAUUUUGAACCGCAUGGUUCAAAAGUGUAAGACGGUCUUGCUGUCACUUAUAGAUGGUUCCGCGCUGCAUUAGCUAGUUGGUAAGGUAACGGCUUACCAAGGCAACGAUGCAUAGCGGACGUGAGAGGGGGAUCGGCCACACGGGAACGUAGACACGGUCCAGGCUCCUACGGGAGGCAGCAGUAGGGUAUCUUCCGCAAUGGGCGAAAGCCUGACGGAGCAACGCCGCGUGAGUUAUGAAGGUCUUCGGAUCGUAAAACUCUGUUAUUAGGGAAGAACAUAUGUGUAAGUAACUGUGCACAUCUUGACGGUACCUAAUCAGAAAGCCACGGCUAACUACGUG
This 497-nucleotide ribosomal RNA is filed under the name uncultured bacterium. Its description in RNAcentral is "partial 16S ribosomal RNA". It matches the Rfam family "Bacterial small subunit ribosomal RNA", at positions 28 to 507 of the family's 1533-position model. The record is from RNAcentral.